This 618-nucleotide ribosomal RNA is filed under the name uncultured bacterium. RNAcentral's name for it is "bacterial SSU rRNA". The stretch from base 1 to 536 matches the Rfam family "Bacterial small subunit ribosomal RNA", at positions 338 to 873 of the family's 1533-position model. The record is from RNAcentral.
CCUACGGGAGGCAGCAGUGGGGAAUAUUGGACAAUGGGCGAAAGCCUGAUCCAGCAAUUCCGCGUGUGUGAAGAAGGCCUUCGGGUUGUAAAGCACUUUAGUGGGGGAAGAAACAGCUUGGCCACACCAAGCCUUGACGGUACCCCAAGAAUAAGCACCGGCUAACUCUGUGCCAGCAGCCGCGGUAAUACAGAGGGUGCAAGCGUUAAUCGGAUUUACUGGGCGUAAAGGGUGCGUAGGUGGCUAUUUAAGUCGGAUGUGAAAGCCCGGGGCUCAACCUCGGAAUUGCAUUCGAUACUGAGUGGCUAGAGUUCGGUAGAGGGCGGCGGAAUUUCCGGUGUAGCGGUGAAAUGCGUAGAUAUCGGAAGGAACAUCAAUGGCGAAGGCAGCCGCCUGGGCCUGGACUGACACUGAGGCACGAAAGCGUGGGUAGCAAACAGGAUUAGAUACCCUGGUAGUCCACGCCGUAAACGAUGAGAACUUGACGUUGGUUCGUUUUACGAAUCGGUGUCGCNNNGCGCGAUAGUUACUCCGUCCGCGGAGGUACGGCCGCGACGUAGUAACGUACGAAGAAGUAGUACGCGNGAGACGUGCCGACGACGACGACGAGGGAGGAGG